UUCAUGCCUCGGGUGACGGUUUCUCCGCCAACUCCGCCAGGACCGGAAGGUAGCAACGGUAACGGAGAGCUGGGUACCCGGGGCACUUUAUU
Molecule: signal recognition particle RNA, 92 nt
Filed under: Nannocystaceae bacterium
Lineage: Bacteria; Pseudomonadati; Myxococcota; Nannocystales; Nannocystaceae
Description: signal recognition particle sRNA small type
Rfam family: Bacterial small signal recognition particle RNA
About the family: The signal recognition particle (SRP) is a universally conserved ribonucleoprotein involved in the co-translational targeting of proteins to membranes.
Source: RNAcentral